This 253-nucleotide ribosomal RNA is filed under the name uncultured bacterium. Its description in RNAcentral is "partial 16S ribosomal RNA". It matches the Rfam family "Bacterial small subunit ribosomal RNA", at positions 524 to 776 of the family's 1533-position model. The record is from RNAcentral.
UACGUAGGGGCCUGGCGUUGUCCGGAUUUACUGGGCGUAAAGCGCACGUAGGCGGAUCGUUAAGUCGGGGGUGAAAUCCUGGAGCUCAACUCCAGAACUGCCUUCGAUACUGGCGAUCUAGAGUCCGGAAGAGGUGAGUGGAACUCCUAGUGUAGAGGUGGAAUUCGUAGAUAUUAGGAAGAACACCAGUGGCGAAGGCGGCUCACUGGUCCGGUACUGACGCUGAGGUGCGAAAGCGUGGGGAGCAAACAGG